Long non-coding RNA from Cyprinus carpio (common carp), 1040 nucleotides. RefSeq lists it as uncharacterized. The record is from RefSeq and is a predicted model, not a curated record. Lineage: Eukaryota; Metazoa; Chordata; Actinopteri; Cypriniformes; Cyprinidae.
GGCUUCUCCCAAGACCUUCAAGGACCCAGCUGUAAAGGAGGAUGGAACUGAUGUCUAAGAAUGGGACAGCGAUAUUGCAUCAUUUGGUCUCCUACUUCAUUUGAUUCCACCAUCAUCAAGACUGCAAGGGACCUGGAAAAAUGUCAUCCUGUCAAUUUGAAAAACAUCUUCAAAAAGGGACCAACAAGAAGAAGACCUGUAAAUAGUGUAAUUUUUCUACACUAUAAGGUGCUAUAUUAACACUAAAAAUUCAACACUACGAAUGGUGUACUUUUAACACUAGACAGAUUGGGACCAUAUAUGAUCUUUAGUAGUGUUAACAUCGACACUUUAAGUGUUGAAUUGACACUGCGUUUUUGUUUAACCUCAGCUAAGCCUGCAAUUGUUGCUGCAAUAGACAUGUUUGGUUGUGAAAUUCAUGUUGAUUACUGAAUAGAUCAUAAUAAAUAAAUAUGUUCACAAUUAUAUUUAUUGUGACACUGAAUUAUUAUUUUUAACUCAUGAAAAUUAUUCAGAUACAAAAAGAAUGAGACACACACAGUGGUUUGUUUUACAUUUCAUUCUUCUUCCCAGUUUAUUGGUCAGAUACACAGUUUAUACUCUUCUUGUUAUGCAUAUUCACUGAUUUUGAUGUACUCCCAGAAUUGAUUGGAUUAACAAAUGAGCAGAUUAUCAUUAGACCACCUUCUUCAGUUUAUAAUUUUAUAUGGUUUUAUCUCUUUUCAAGACCAAAUGUAUCUGUCAACUGAUAAAAACACAGCAAACUCUGUGCAAUUGUGCAUUUUCACAGAAAUUGUACGAAGUAUGGACUUUACUUUCAUUAAAAAUGCAGGCUCAUUUUGUAAAUGUAAGUUAUUGAAAUUAUAGAGAAGCGCAAACUGGGUGCUUAAUGCAAAUGUAAUUGGCCACAUUUACAAAAUAAAGUGAUUAUGUUCGCUUGUCAAUGCAAAUGUCUCUUUAUGUAUAGACAAUAGAAUGAGGUUAAUCGCUGUCUGUCAGUUUAUAGUUAUUGUGUGCAUUUACAAAGACACUUAUGAAUG